RNAcentral lists this ribosomal RNA (478 nucleotides) under uncultured bacterium. RNAcentral describes it as "bacterial SSU rRNA". It matches the Rfam family "Bacterial small subunit ribosomal RNA", at positions 24 to 518 of the family's 1533-position model. The record is from RNAcentral.
UCAGGACGAACGCUGGCGGCGUGCUUAACACAUGCAAGUCGAGCGAUGAAGCUUCUUCGGAAGUGGAUUAGCGGCGGACGGGUGAGUAACACGUGGGUAACCUGCCUCAUAGAGGGGAAUAGCCUUCCGAAAGGAAGAUUAAUACCGCAUAAGAUUGUAAUAUCGCAUGAUAUAGCAAUUAAAGGAGUAAUCCGCUAUGAGAUGGACCCGCGUCGCAUUAGCUAGUUGGUGAGGUAACGGCUCACCAAGGCGACGAUGCGUAGCCGACCUGAGAGGGUGAUCGGCCACAUUGGGACUGAGACACGGCCCAGACUCCUACGGGAGGCAGCAGUGGGGAAUAUUGCACAAUGGGGGAAACCCUGAUGCAGCCAACGCCGCGUGAGUGAUGACGGUCUUCGGAUUGUAAAGCUCUGUCUUCAGGGACGAUAAUGACGGUACCUGAGGAGGAAGCCACGGCUAACUACGUGCCAGCCGCAGC